Molecule: long non-coding RNA, 556 nt
Filed under: Coffea arabica (coffee)
Lineage: Eukaryota; Viridiplantae; Streptophyta; Magnoliopsida; Gentianales; Rubiaceae
Description: long non-coding RNA (CARA_LNC008232)
Source: RNAcentral
AUAUCUUAGAUAGCCAAAGCCCUUGCAUUAUUCGGAUUGGGCUGGAGUAAUUAAACGAUGGGCUGGUCUGAUGUGUUUUAAGGCUUUCGGUCUGGGCUUCAGAGGAAAAGCCCAGAUGUUUUGGUUGGACCAAUCGACAGGCCAGCCCAUCUGUUUUCUCGGAUUUAUUUGAUGGGUUGAAGAUAAUUUUGGCCCAAACGAAUAAGGCCCAAUGGCCUGUUUGACUAAGAAAUAAUUUUGCAAAUCAGUCCCUGAGUUUCUCUUUAACUAUACUGUGGCCCUGGACAUUUUCCACUUCUUUCAUUUCGGUCCUUACUUUAAUUGCAAAUAAGUCCUUGAACUUUAUUUUUCUUUAAUUUUGGCCCCAAAACUUUGCCAAUCUUUGCAAUCAAUCCUUUCUUCUCUUGACUUCUUAAAUGUGGUUGUUGACAGGAUUUAAUUGAUUCAAAUUCAUGUUUAUUUUUAUCCUUUGUGAUUAUUUGUCAAAUAAAUUGGUGCCUUGACCCUUUUAUUGUUUUGAAGCCAUUUUUACUUCAUUUGAUUACCAUCGAAGGGG